UUCACAAAUGCUAUUUGGAUCUCUCAUUUAAAUGAACUCUCUAACUUUGAUCAGAACUGGAAAUCAAUUCGACCCUGUGCUGCAGUGCGCCACAGCCAAGAGGACACUCCAUGAGGUGCUGUGAGUCGGAUGUUUAGGAUUGGGAGACAAACUUGAGUGAAGAGGUGGAUUUGAUUUAAUAAAAAUGGACAGAGUGGUAUGACAAAGAACUAACCACCCUGUGGCUUUCAGGGUUGGCAGAAUGGAUUUGGGAUUAGAGGUGUCCCUGGGAAACUGGUAGGAAAAGAUGGAGAUGCCGCCCUGUGAUGCUCAGGAGCAGGAGACUCGCUCCCCAUGGCAUUCUUUGAGAGAUAAGGCAAACUUGUAUGAAGGUGGCACAUCUGGACCAACGUGAUGCUUGGAAUACAAGCCUUACCAGCAAAAUCUACCUCAAGUGCAUGAGAAGAGAAGCCUUUCUUUGGCAGACUGCCAGGGUGCAGGUCUCGAGGAUACAGCUUUUUGUCAAGCACCCUUUGGUUCUCAGCAGCCUCGAUUUCACUACGCUGCUCAAGGCCCACAGGUGGUCACCAUGCAGGCAGGGUGAAUUAAAAGAUGGCGUGGAAGUCUGGCAGGCAUCUUGACAGAACUACUCUUGAAGAUGGGACCUACACAAGGGAAAAGGGAGUUCAGAAGUAGAAUGAGUAAAGGAGAAUUAUAUUAGUUGAGUGUCUGAAUCCACUGGUGUCUGAAGCAUAUUCUUUAUUAGACCCUCUGCUUGGGUAGGUGUUUUUUCACUUGUAACUACAGUUCUUACAAAAAUAUGUGUCUAUAUGAUAGGAAUAGUUCAUCCCUCUCUCAACUGUAUGUGACAAUGAUCCAAAAAAGGAUGGCAGGUUAGAGUGUACUAGAGCAUUCCACAUGGAGACACAAAAGUAGAAAGCCAUACAUUGUGGAGACCUUGCUCUCUAUGAGGCAUUAACUGUGUGAGAAUGUGUAUUGACAUGGGCUUUAUCACAUCUUUUUGUUAUUAUUUUAUAUUUGUUUACUCUUAGGCUUCAUUAAAAUGAGAAUUCCCUAUCUCUUUAUUCUUAAGGUUCAAUAUUGUAUCUGGGACAAAUUAGAUACAAAAUAAAUGUUACAAC
This is a long non-coding RNA of Heterocephalus glaber (naked mole-rat), 1121 nucleotides long. RefSeq lists it as uncharacterized. The record is from RefSeq and is a predicted model, not a curated record. Lineage: Eukaryota; Metazoa; Chordata; Mammalia; Rodentia; Bathyergidae.